This 521-nucleotide ribosomal RNA is filed under the name uncultured bacterium. RNAcentral's name for it is "bacterial SSU rRNA". It matches the Rfam family "Bacterial small subunit ribosomal RNA", at positions 25 to 518 of the family's 1533-position model. The record is from RNAcentral.
CAGGACGAACGCUGGCGGCGUGCCUAAUACAUGCAAGUCGAACGGUCUUUCUAUGGAAGCUUGCUUCCACUGGGAAGAUAGUGGCGGACGGGUGAGUAACACGUGGGUAACCUGCCCAUAAGAGGGGGAGUAACAUCCGGAAACGGGUGCUAAUACCGCAUAGUUUUCUUGAUCGCAUGGUCGAGAAAGGAAAGACGGCCUUUGUGCUGUCGCUUAUGGAUGGACCCGCGGCGUAUUAGUUAGUUGGUGAGGUAACGGCUCACCAAGACGAUGAUACGUAGCCGACCUGAGAGGGUGAUCGGCCACAUUGGGACUGAGACACGGCCCAAACUCCUACGGGAGGCAGCAGUAGGGAAUCUUCCGCAAUGGACGAAAGUCUGACGGAGCAACGCCGCGUGAGUGAAAGAAGGUUUUCGGAUCGUAAAACUCUGUUGUCAGAGAAGAACAAGUCGGAGAGUAACUGCUCCGGCCUUGACGGUAUCUGACCAGAAAGCCACGGCUAACUACGUGCCAGCCGCCGC